Crotalus tigris (Tiger rattlesnake) is the source of this 615-nucleotide long non-coding RNA. RefSeq lists it as uncharacterized. The record is from RefSeq and is a predicted model, not a curated record. Lineage: Eukaryota; Metazoa; Chordata; Lepidosauria; Squamata; Viperidae. The transcript has 2 exons.
GCGCUGCAGAGCCACGAGACGCCGCUAUCGCCUCUCUUCUGAGGAAAAAGAGACGCGGUAGCGGCGUCGGCUGUCUCUGCAGCGCGCUCGUUUUUCUUUUUGCACUCAGCUUGAGAAGCCCGCCGACAUUUUAAAUGCCCCCGCCUCUCGGAGAGGGGAGAGGCCGCUCAGCCAAUCCGAGGGAAGCGUUUCCGGAGCAGCCAAUCACGAGCGAGAUGGGCGUGCAGACAGGAGCCCGCGAGGCAGUCCGAGGGCGCUGGGCGGGAAAGGCGCGCGCUCUUUCCCGCCCAAACACAGGUGCGAACGCUGGGCUAUUUUCCCAGCUCGCGCAGCGGUUGCCAUGGAGACGGCCGCCGCGCGGGAAGCUGCUCAUCACGGUCAGGUGUGCCUCGGCCCGCACAGCUGUGCUUUUUAGGAUUGAGAGAACAGAGGGCGACUUGGGCUUCUACUGGAUUACAAGUCCCAUCAGCCACCUCUGGGGUGCUGAUGGGGAUCGUCCCUUCUUCCAACAGAGAACUUUAUCUUGUUGAGCAGGAAAAUGCUUAAAAUGCUGUUUUAAAAAAAACUGAAAAUUUUAUAAAUGCAAAAUAAAAUAAAGAUUACAUGCAGAAUUUA